Long non-coding RNA from Hibiscus syriacus, 212 nucleotides. RefSeq lists it as uncharacterized. Lineage: Eukaryota; Viridiplantae; Streptophyta; Magnoliopsida; Malvales; Malvaceae. The transcript has 3 exons. The record is from RefSeq and is a predicted model, not a curated record.
UCAACUGUAUUUACCAGUGCUAAUUUGACAUUUCUUAUUCAUUCACUUGCCCUUUUUUUGCAAUAGGCACUUGAUGAUAAUGUCAAGUUAAAGCUCUCUCAGUUUUGCCAUGUUUCGGCCGAAAAUAUUGUCACUCUCUAUGACGUUCCAAAUAUUUGGCACAUUCCUUUACUACUAAGAGAUCAAAAGACACAUGAAGCAAUCUUGAAAGG